GAGCGGCGGACGGGUGAGUAACGCGUAGGCAACCUGCCCCAUACAGAGGGAUAGCCUCGGGAAACCGGGAUUAAAACCUCAUAACGCGAGGAGUUCACAUGGACUUCUCGCCAAAGAUUCAUCGGUAUGGGAUGGGCCUGCGUCUGAUUAGCUAGUUGGUGAGGUAACGGCUCACCAAGGCGACGAUCAGUAGCCGACCUGAGAGGGUAAUCGGCCACAUUGGAACUGAGACACGGUCCAAACUCCUACGGGAGGCAGCAGUGGGGAAUAUUGCACAAUGGGCGAAAGCCUGAUGCAGCAACGCCGCGUGAGCGAUGAAGGCCUUUGGGUCGUAAAGCUCUGUCCUUGGGGAAGAAACAAAUGACGGUACCCUUGGAGGAAGCCCCGGCUAACUACGUGCCAGCAGCCGCGGUAAUACGUAGGGGGCGAGCGUUAUCCGGAAUUAUUGGGCGUAAAGAGUGCGUAGGUGGCCAUGUAAGCGCGGGGUGAAAGGCAAUAGCUUAACUAUUGUAAGCCUUGCGAACUGUGUGGCUUGAGUGCAGGAGAGGAAAGUGGAAUUCCUAGUGUAGCGGUGAAAUGCGUAGAUAUUAGGAGGAACACCAGUGGCGAAGGCGACUUUCUGGACUGUAACUGACACUGAGGCACGAAAGCGUGGGGAGCAAACAGGAUUAGAUACCCUGGUAGUCCACGCCGUAAACGAUGAGCACUAGGUGUCGGGGUCGCAAGACUUCGGUGCCGCAGUUAACGCAUUAA
RNAcentral lists this ribosomal RNA (753 nucleotides) under uncultured bacterium. Its description in RNAcentral is "bacterial SSU rRNA". It matches the Rfam family "Bacterial small subunit ribosomal RNA", at positions 93 to 863 of the family's 1533-position model. The record is from RNAcentral.